GCGUCCGUAGCUCAGCCGGAUAGAGCAACGGACUUCGAAUCCGUAGGUCACACGUUCGAAUCGUGCCGGACGCA
Molecule: transfer RNA, 74 nt
Filed under: Spirochaetaceae bacterium
Lineage: Bacteria; Pseudomonadati; Spirochaetota; Spirochaetia; Spirochaetales; Spirochaetaceae
Description: tRNA-Arg
Rfam family: tRNA
About the family: Transfer RNA (tRNA) molecules are approximately 80 nucleotides in length.
Source: RNAcentral